GAUGAACGCUGACAGAAUGCUUAACACAUGCAAGUCUACUUAAACUUCGGUUUGGGUGGCGGACGGGUGAGUAACGCGUAAAGAACUUGCCUCACAGUUAGGGACAACAUUUGGAAACGAAUGCUAAUACCUGAUAUUAUGAUUUUAGGGCAUCCUAAGAUUAUGAAAGCUAUAUGCGCUGUGAGAGAGCUUUGCGUCCCAUUAGCUAGUUGGAGAGGUAACGGCUCACCAAGGCGAUGAUGGGUAGCCGGCCUGAGAGGGUGAACGGCCACAAGGGGACUGAGACACGGCCCUUACUCCUACGGGAGGCAGCAGUGGGGAAUAUUGGACAAUGGACCAAAAGUCCGAUCCAGCAAUUCUGUGUGCACGAUGACGUUUUUCGGAAUGUAAAGUGCUUUCAGUUGGGAAGAAAAAAAUGACGGUACCAACAGAAGAAGUGACGGCUAAAUACGUGCCAGCAGCCGCGGUAAUACGUAUGCCACAAGCGUUAUCCGGAUUUAUUGGGCGUAAAGCGCGUCUAGGUGGUUAUGUAAGUCUGACGUGAAAAUGCAGGGCUCAACUCUGUAUUGCGUUGGAAACUGCAUGACUAGAGUACUGGAGAGGUAAGCGGAACUACAAGUGUAGAGGUGAAAUUCGUAGAUAUUUGUAGGAAUGCCGAUGGGGAAGCCAGCUUACUGGACAGAUACUGACGCUAAAGCGCGAAAGCGUGGGUAGCAAACAGG
RNAcentral lists this ribosomal RNA (722 nucleotides) under uncultured Fusobacterium sp. RNAcentral describes it as "bacterial SSU rRNA". It matches the Rfam family "Bacterial small subunit ribosomal RNA", at positions 28 to 776 of the family's 1533-position model. Lineage: Bacteria; Fusobacteriati; Fusobacteriota; Fusobacteriia; Fusobacteriales; Fusobacteriaceae. The record is from RNAcentral.